This 234-nucleotide long non-coding RNA is filed under the name Capsella rubella. RNAcentral's name for it is "long non-coding RNA (CRUB_LNC002650)". Lineage: Eukaryota; Viridiplantae; Streptophyta; Magnoliopsida; Brassicales; Brassicaceae. The record is from RNAcentral.
UGGGGAUAUGAGCACGGAUCUGAGUGAGAUUUGCAGCCGAUGGAGUGGUGUUUGCCAUGGUCGAGAAACGAGACGAAAGUGAAGAAGAAGAAACAAAACGUGGAGGGAGAGAUAAAUAAGAAACAGAGGAGUACGAAAGAACAGAGAGAAGAGAAGAAAGGAAAAAAAAAUAUGUAAGAGAGUAGGAGAAGAGAAGAAAAAGAAACGAGAGAGAGGCGGCUGAUUAGAUCUUUG